CCUACGGGAGGCAGCAGUAGGGAAUCUUCCACAAUGGACGAAAGUCUGAUGGAGCAACGCCGCGUGAGUGAAGAAGGGUUUCGGCUCGUAAAGCCCUGUUGGUAGGGAAGAAAGAUAGAGGUAGUAACUUGCCUUUAUUUGACGGUAAUUACUUAGAAAGUCACGGCUAACUACGUGCCAGCAGCCGCGGUAAUACGUAGGUGGCAAGCGUUGUCCGGAUUUAUUGGGCGGAAAGCGAGUGCAGGCGGUUCAAUAAGUCUGAUGUGAAAGCCUUCGGCUCAACCGGAGAAUUGCAUCAGAAACUGUUGAACUUGAGUGCAGAAGAGGAGAGUGGAACUCCAUGUGUAGCGGUGGAAUGCGUAGAUAUAUGGAAGAACACCAGUGGCGAAGGCGGCUCUCUGGUCUGCAACUGACGCUGAGGCUCGAAAGCAUGGGUAGCGAACAGGAUUAGAUACCCGAGUAGUC
Molecule: ribosomal RNA, 465 nt
Filed under: uncultured bacterium
Lineage: Bacteria
Description: partial 16S ribosomal RNA
Rfam family: Bacterial small subunit ribosomal RNA
Source: RNAcentral